This 501-nucleotide ribosomal RNA is filed under the name uncultured bacterium. RNAcentral's name for it is "bacterial SSU rRNA". It matches the Rfam family "Bacterial small subunit ribosomal RNA", at positions 28 to 531 of the family's 1533-position model. The record is from RNAcentral.
GACGAACGCUGGCGGCGUGCCUAACACAUGCAAGUCGAGCGAGGUUGCGGAUGGGUGCUUGCACCCUGAAGCUACCUAGCGGCGGACGGGUGAGUAACGCGUGAGUAACCUGCCUUAUACAGGGGGAUAACAACGAGAAAUCGUUGCUAAUACCGCAUAAGACCACGGUAUCGCAUGGUACAGGGGUAAAAGGAGCAAUCCGGUAUAAGAUGGACUCGCGUCCCAUUAGCUAGUUGGUGAGAUAACAGCCCACCAAGGCAACGAUGGGUAGCCGACCUGAGAGGGUGAUCGGCCACACUGGGACUGAGACACGGCCCAGACUCCUACGGGAGGCAGCAGUGGGGAAUAUUGGGCAAUGGGCGAAAGCCUGACCCAGCAACGCCGCGUGAAGGAAGAAGGUCUUCGGGAUUGUAAACUUCUGUCGUCAGGGACGAAAAAGGACGGUACCUGGCAAGAAAGCCCCGGUAACUACGUGCCAGCAGCCGCGGUAAAAUGCGUACU